CAGAACUUAUAUGAUGAACAUAACCCUUCCUCUUUAAAUUUGCUUAGUGUAGUUGCCAAAACAGCUUAAAAUCCAGAAAAUAAUUUAUAACACAAACCCUUCUCGUUUUAGCCUAUAUAUUGGAAGAAAAAAUCAAAAGGAUCAGAAAAACAAUCACAAGAUAAAAAUUGAGAGAUUUUCAUUUCUUACUUUUGCUGUUUCUAAAAAAAAUAGAAAGAGAGAGUGUUACCACAGAUAAAAAAGAAGAUCUACC
RNAcentral lists this long non-coding RNA (253 nucleotides) under Cicer arietinum (chickpea). RNAcentral's name for it is "long non-coding RNA (CARI_LNC002048)". Lineage: Eukaryota; Viridiplantae; Streptophyta; Magnoliopsida; Fabales; Fabaceae. The record is from RNAcentral.